GACGAACGCUGGCGGCGUGCUUAACACAUGCAAGUCGAACGGAAAGGCCCUGCUUUUGUGCGGUGCUCGAGUGGCGAACGGGUGAGUAACACAUGAGUAACCUGCCCUUGACUUUGGGAUAACUUCAGGAAACUGGGGCUAAUACCGGAUAUGACCUCCUGCUGCAUGGUGGGGGUUGGCGAGUUUCGGCGGUUGGGGUUGGACUCGCGGCUUCUCAGCUUGUUUGUGGGGUAGUGGCUUACCAAGGCUUUGACGGGUAGCCGGCCUGAGAGGGUUACCGGCCACAUUGGUACUGAGAUACGGCCCAGAAUCCAACGGGAGGCAGCAGUGGGGAAUAUUGCACAAUGGGGGGAAGACAGAUGCAGCAACGUCGCGUGCGGGAUGACGGCCUUCGGGUUGUAAACCGCUUUCGCCUGUGACGAAGCGUGAGUGACGGUAAUGGGUAAAGAAGCACCGGCUAACUACGUG
Molecule: ribosomal RNA, 468 nt
Filed under: uncultured bacterium
Lineage: Bacteria
Description: partial 16S ribosomal RNA
Rfam family: Bacterial small subunit ribosomal RNA
Source: RNAcentral